GAAGUGCAUACAUUAUUCUUGAGUAAUUUCUUCUGGUAUCCAUACCAUAGUUAGUUAAUUCGGAUUCGACAAAAAUUCGGUACGGACAUAAUACGUAUAAAAUUUGUUUUCUAAUUUUUAAAUUCGUUGAAAAAUUCGGCUUAAAAAACGGAUUCGGUAUAAAAUAUAAAAUAUAAGAUAUAAAAUAUAAAAUAAUUUAUAUUUAAAAAUAAAAUUAUAAGUUUUUUAUUCAUAUUUUCAAUAAUUCGGCAAUAAUUCGCGAAUUAUUAGCGAAUAAUUCGGCUGGCCCAAAAAUUCACGGAUAAUUCUCUUUCUUUCGGAAAAAUUUGUAAACAGACCGUUUAAUUCAGAGUUUCAAUAAUUCGCGAAUAAUUUGCGAAUUUACUAACUAGGAUCCAUACAAGCCCUAUCCUUUUUUUUUAUUUGUGGAAGAUUAUAAAUAUUAUACUAGUUAGGAGAUUUCUUUUUAAUUUUUAAUUGGAUAAAUUGCACAUUUGGCCUAAUGGAUAAUGGAUAAAAGAUUGCUCAGGACAAAUUGUGAAAAAGCAUGGGUCACAUCUUCACUUUGGAAUGUUUAACUCUUUCUUUCAAAUUUUUGUCACAUACUAGAAAAGAAAUAUUGACUCACAUCACCUCAUGAAAUUAUAUAUAUAUUCACCUCCUAUAUUAAUUUAUAUACCUGCUUAUGAGCUACACAUUUUCUAACCAUAAUUUUUGUAUGAGUUCCUAACUUUUUAGAAAAUCUUCAAACACUAUUAACUUUUCAUCUUUUCUAUUAAAUUUUCUAAGUUUUUUUUUUAAAAAAAAAACACUUGUUGAAGUUCUUGCUUAACGUAUUUUAGAGAAAUCUUAGAAUAUUGUAUUUCGAUGAAAAAUAAAAGUGCAGCUCGACACGUGGCGUAAUGUGAUCCGUCCAUAGUUUGAUAUCUCUUGAUGCGCAGACUGAAUCUGAAUAUAUUUCAGGAGUGUAUCAGAGAGAGAAUGAUCUAGUUAGGUUCAAUUCUCGAGAGAUGGUCUCGUGGUCCUCAACCAAUACCCGAAGUUCACGAACUUCGGUCUUUUAGGAUUUGACCGCUAGUCUGAGCCGAAAUUGAUUUCAAUGAAACGGCUGCACAGUAGCAGCUCUCGAGAAGAGGUUCUGUGUGGGGCAGAGCCGAAACACUAAGCUUUCGACCGCUUAAAUUUUAGCCAUUGGAUCCAGGCCGAAAUCAAGCAAUAAAAACCACUAAGGUGAGAAAGUUUUGAGAUAGAGCACAUGACGAAAGUGUGACGAGCGUUUGCCCUUUCCUUUUUGAAAUUUAAAUUUGAAAAUCAAAUUUUAAAUAGAGACUUCCCUUCUUGGACCUUGAAUGCAUAUAAAUUUGAAGAGUGAAACUAUAUUGGGAAAUUUGUGACAGAACAUAGUUAGAUUAACCUAAGGGCCCGUUUGGUUCGAGUUAUAUAAUAUUACAAAGUAUCUUGACAUAUCCAGGUAUUUUGGAUUUCGGCGUGAGAUUACUACUGAUGCUGCAUUAGCGCGUUUGGUUUAAUUCAGUAAUGUAAUACUAGAUUACAGUGUUUAUAGCAUUAAUACGUUUGGUUCAGUUUAUAAAAUUUAGUAAUCCUAACAUAAAAGUAUAGUUUUUUUUCAAAUUACCCUUGAUGUGGUCAUUUGAAUAUUAUGUUUUACGGAAAUGACGAAUGGAGGGAAGGAGAUUAUGAUGAUUACCUGGGAGGACGACACAAUAGAAGAUGAUAGGUGUUCAUGCGCGCAAGAGAGAGAGAGAGAGAGAGGCGUGCGAGAGAGAGGAGAGAAGGCGAGAGAGAGAUGAAAAUAAAGCUGUUAAUUAGAUUUGGGGUUGUUGGAGUGUCACGCCCCGGAUUACACUUUCCCCGGGCACGCCGACAAAUCCGCCGUAUACAAAGGAAUUUCCCCUGUAUACGAAGCGAUAGCUGUACCUGUAAAUCAAACACUACUACAAACAGUAGUAGAGAGCUGCUAGAGAAAACUGAAGCUAAAUAAAACAGAGUUUCAUAUACAUAGAUCAGAUCCAAAAUACAGAGCUACUCGCACUGGCGAGUUAAGUCAACUAUGUACAAAAGCUCCAAAAGAAAAAUAUCUACCUGCAGUAGGGCACCUCUAGCUCAGCACGUCGGGUAGGGCUCUAGCUCGCGACGCCCUUGCCACGAUCCUGCUCAGCAGAGGAAGCAGCAGCCUGUACCUGCGGCUCUGCAAAAUAGCGGUAAAAGAACAGGGCGUGAGAACUACUGUAAACACAAGUAGUCCUCAGUGGGCACCGCCAAAAACAAACAUCGGUCACCCACUAAGUCUACAGAAGGGAGCAAGGAUAGAAGGAAAGCAGGAAGCAUACUCUACCGCUAUCAUCCACUACACUAUCAUGCUCUACACUAACCAACUGUAGGAAAUGUCAAAUCUGACCAAUCCAAUCGGGACUGUAAGCAUACCCGUCCCGGACUGUGAAUACACCCGUCCCUGCCCUGUUGCGACUAUCGCUCUAUCCACUCUACUGUCCGUGAGAGCAAGUCCAACUGGCAUGAGCGACACCAACGCAAAAGCACAAGCCUGACUCCGGAGUGGCAGUCCGUGGGUGCUACCAACCGAGUAUGCAGCGUAUCUCUGUCGAGCUCAAUCAGCUCCAACUAGCCAAGUCAAGUAAUCGACUCUAAAUGGUCUAACACCAAACAGGUAACGUGCCCUCGCACAAUCUGACGCCAAAAAGGCGAUACGGUCCACCGUCAACUCUGAGGCACCAACAGUCCGAAACGACCUGAACGACCCUGUAAAAAUCCACUCGGCGAACCAGCACGAGUGUAAAUACAUUCUAAACUACCUGGAGUACUCGUCUCGAAGAAACGGCGACAGUACAAUUUUCUAACGGCUCCUGGAGCUAAAUCAGGUAGUAACAGUGACAGGUCCAAAUCGCAGUUUUCUCUAAUUCAAUUUCCAAGUCCAACAUGUAUAAUCUAUUUAAAUUAUAAAACAUGCUCGAGAAUUCAGAUUUUACCAAUCUAGAAUCAUUCAAGAAUUUGAGCCAAACUAGAUUACCAAAAUAGAGAUCUAUAACAUGUCGACGAUUAUGAACUUAGGAGUCGAACCGAUGUAACCCACCUAAAAUGCUAAUCCCCUGGCAGCGGUACACUCUCACAGCUGUGCGCCUCCUGCUGGGUCGACCAAAAACGCCCGAGUCUCGAAUCGAGCUAAUCCAAACUAAAACACCAAAAUUUCUCAAUUCAGUCCAAAAUUCACAGCAGAAGAGAGAAGGAUUUCGACCAAGCUAACCUUCACCAAAAUUCGCAGUAAGGCUUCGUGAUUCCUCUCGCAGUCCUGAAUCCAACGAGCCAAGUCUCGUCGCAAUCCGAUGCCUCUACGUCGAGAACGAGCCAAAAUACAAAACAGUCGACGGUGAAAUUCUGCGAAAACAGCACUUAAGCUCUAAUUUGAUGAUACUCGAAGUACUCGAAGCAAUUGCGACCAAAUGCUCACCUCAACAGCAACAAUCCUCGCGCGAUGUCCAGGACGACGAAGAUACACCCUCGCCCGGCACAUCGCAAUGCCCCGACAACAAACGCUCGCUCGAACGGCUCGCGGCGCGACGUCGGCGACGAAAUCCCCAACCGGACUCCUCCACGGUCGAACCAAGCUAGAGAGGUGAAGAGGGGAAAAGGAGCAGCAAAAGAACUUCCUCUCAUGCUCUCUACAUCAGUAUAAAAAGGUAGGUGGAGUGGUGAUACAAACGAGGGUGAAAAAUUACGAAUUUAGCCCUUACCAACUCCCUUGUACCGGUACACGGCAGAGUAAAAAUUCUGCAAUUUCGCAGAUUUUCACACAGAAAGAUGACCUCGCGUCAAACGGAGUCCGUUUCGCGUCUAUUUGACGCCAACGCAACUCGGGCUUGUCUUGACACUCUCCAGAACUGUCGACAAGUCCCCACUGACAGAAACGGGGUCUCACAUGGAGGGUAAAAUUGUCAUUUUACAUAAUAUGCAGUAUUAACUGGUUUUAGUAAUGCAAGAUACACGACCCCCCUCCCGUUAAUAUUUUUGAUGUAAUCCUGCUCGAUUUGUAAUGCUACAUUAACGACUAAAUUAUAUAGCGGAUUAACCAAACACAGUUAUCCUGGCAGGAUUGUUUGUAAUCCUGCAAGGAUAACUCGAACCAAACGCACCCUAAAAAUAUUUAGCAGGAACUUUUUGAACUAAAAAAGUCAAAACCUCAAGAACUUAAUUACAUGAAAUAUUGAUUAAAGAAUUACGAACUUCUCGCAAAUUAUUUGAAAAGCUAGGGACUUAAAUAAAAACUAUUCUUUUCCAUAUAUUGGAUAAGCAAAUAGAGCAAAUUUAAUUUAAGCUAAUGCUAAUUAUAGCUCAUAGCUCAUGCUUGUUUACAGAAGGAGUGAUCAGUAAACUAAUGAAAAGCUGAGGCUAAAAGUGUAGCUAAUUUUGUAUGAUGUGAACCUACCUUUGCAAGGAUUUAUGCUGUAGCUUCUUGGAGUCAUGGACCACUUAUGGCCUGUAUCCUUUUAGUUUAUUCAUUUGACAUGAAAAGGAGUGAUGUUAAUUCCUUAUAUUUUAGGGAAAACUUUAAAAAACCACCCUGUGGUUUCGCAUUUUCUCACUUUAGUACCCUAUGGUUUAAAGUGUAUCAAUUUGUCCCCCUGUGGUUUUGUUUUUAUCUUUUCGACAGCCUUUUCCUUAAUAUUUUGUUAAAUUAUAUACAAAAAAUUUUAGAUACCACAUCUAAAUUUAUCGAAUAUUUACUUUAGUAUCUUUUAACUUUAACUUUGUCACUGAUUUAAGAAAAAAAAAUAAUAAAAUUGAUACUAAAAAGAGAAAAACGAAACCACGGGGAGGCAAAUUGAUACACUUUAAACCACAAAGUACUAAAGUGAGACAGUGUGAAACUACAGGGGGGUUUGAAGUUUUCCCUAUAUUUUAUUC
This 4938-nucleotide long non-coding RNA is filed under the name Ananas comosus (pineapple). Its description in RNAcentral is "long non-coding RNA (ACOM_LNC009718)". Lineage: Eukaryota; Viridiplantae; Streptophyta; Magnoliopsida; Poales; Bromeliaceae. The record is from RNAcentral.